AUAUACAUACAUGAAGUACGCAACAUCGGUGCAUCGUCAUCAUCAUCAGUGGGAUACAUUAGUGAUUGAUAUAUCGUCAUCAUCAGUGGGAUACAUUAGUGAUUGAUUAGGAUAUUUUCUGAUUAAACAUCAGUGAUUGAUUAAGAAAAAGCAGCUUCGGACAUUCCUGCUAUAGAAAAUCUCAAGGACUUCACACCGCCGCGAAAAAAGAAAAAAAGCAUCGGUUGUGGUCUAUGCAUUGCCGGAAAAUACAAGUUAAGAAGAACUCGGGUAUGUUAAAUUUUAUACUAUCCCCUCAUCUUAUUUGCCUCUAAUUCGUACGUUUCAUUUGAAUGAAUAGGUGCUAAUCACGUGCACAAUUUUGCACCUUGUAAUCAUCCCGGUCGUCAGUGUAAUAAUUCAUGCCCAUGUAUAUAAGCACAAAACUUCUGCGAGAAGUUUUAUCAGUGCAGCAACGAAUGCCAGAACAGAUUUCCUGAGUGUAGGUGCAAGGCGCAAUGCAAUACAAAGCAGUGUCCUUGUUAUCUGGCUGUCAGGGAAUGUGAUCUCUGGGGAAUGCGACCAUUCCCCAGGGAUCCCUGGGGUUUCCCUGGGGAAACCAUAUGUUUGGCAAAGAUCUGGAUCUUUGCCAAACAUAUGAUGCAGAUAAUUUCCAAAUCAAUUCUAAAUCUUGAAAAAAUGUCAGCGUGCAACAUGGUCUUUAUAAUUUGAAAUAUACUUUAUACAAUUUGGAAGAUCAGCAGCAAAGAAUGAAUUCAUCUCAGAAUAUUGUGGCGAAAUUAUCAGUCAAGACGAAGCUGACAGGAGGGGAAAAGUAUAUGAUAAAUAUAUGUGUAUUAAUCUUAACAAUGGUAAGUAGAAAUAGAUAUAGUGGUUAAUUAAAUGUUGAAAAAUAAUAAAAAUUAAAAGUUUUUGGUAGGUUUCAGAUUUUGUUGUAUAUGUAUAUAUAUUAUAUGGACUUUUACACGUAUAAAUGGUGCAUCAAGCGAAUACAUACAGCUGAAAUAUUAGAAAGGAAAUAAGCACUGCCUGAUUUUAAUGACUAAUAAAGAGGAUCGUAUGGAUGAUAUGGACGAUA
This is a long non-coding RNA of Harpegnathos saltator (Jerdon's jumping ant), 1078 nucleotides long. RefSeq lists it as uncharacterized. The transcript has 3 exons. Lineage: Eukaryota; Metazoa; Arthropoda; Insecta; Hymenoptera; Formicidae. The record is from RefSeq and is a predicted model, not a curated record.